GCUUAGGUGUUUGACUUACAGCUCUCUGCUUGAUGACGGUAGGAAGAAGAACGUACCGCAGAGGUAUGCGCCGAAAAAGGUAGAGGCUGAAAUCUACGACUGUUAUUAAAGUUUCCCCCUGAAGGUGUUUGUGUUCUGCUCAUUUCAAGACCCAAUAAGGUCAGGCAAUUUGGUAUACUCUUUCCUCUUUGCAGCUAGCAAUGUUGGCGUCAGCGUCUGGAAUAAAAAAAAAGUAGAAUUUUAUGGAGCCUUUUAGGGAUGAAGGGGAGGGAAGUGUCAAAAGUUGCACUGAUAGUAGCAUGCGUUGGGAGUCCCCAAAGAAAACAAAACAAAAAAAACAAAGAGAAACAGUCGUUAAAACUCAGGAGGCAAGGACAAGAGGUAAAAACCUCAAUAAUUGCCUGGAUGCCAGAGGGAUUGCUUUCAUUCAAUCAGAGCAUUCUCUCUCCCCGCACGUCGAAGGUGGAGAAGGAGUUUUUUGGGAAGGUUGGGUUGUGUGGGCGUCCGGGGGAUCCGGCGGUGCCCUCCCUCUCUAGGUAACGUACGGCGUUUAGGGCGAUAGCUUCCAGCUGAAUCUCUGGCAUCAUGAGCGGCACAGAGUGAUAAACUGUGUGUGUGAGGGAGAAUAGUGUGAGGCAGCGAUAAGGAGGUUGUAUCUGACUGAGGAACCGGUGCCGGGCUCCCAUCCUCGCGCUCCUCUAACAACAACAACAACACUGUGAGUAUUCUCAUGCUAAUUCUUCUCCUCCAUCCUUCCCUAACAUCCGUUUGUCUCUUUCUCCCCCCCGCUCUUUUUUUUUUCCUUCAAUUUUUUAUAUAUGUAUAUAUUUUUUUACCUCUUUCAUGCUUCCAUCCAACGUGCCGAACGCAGCGGCAGCAGUAGCGGCGCGGGAAGGUAGAAGUGUAGACAAAAAAGGGAAACGAGAGGAGAGAGCAUGCACAGAAAAGGAGAGAAAGAAGGGGAGGAGGAGGGGGGGUUUGAAAAAGAGAUCGUUGCUGCUGUCGCUGCGAGCAACCCCGUUCUGCUUUCGGAGGUGUUUCUCCUGGAGGAUGGUGGAAUUGCUGGAGGGAUGCAGGGGGGCGGGUCUUGGUUUUGUGAGUAGAUAGCUGUGCGAGAAUGAUAGGGGAUGUUGUUGACAAGCAUAGAGUGGCUCAUCACACAGAGCGGGUAGCAGGAACCGGGGGUCACUCUGUGUUGACUAAACUUCUGAUUCAUCCAUCACUUUCCAUAUUUCAUUUCUCCUCUCCUCAUUUGGUGGUUUUGGGGACUGACUGAGGACUUUCUGUCAUGAUGAUGAUGAUGCUGCCGACUCUGAGCGAGGCAUCGGCAGUCGCGGAUGGGAGAUGAAUCAUAGCCGGUGGCUCCUGAGCAUAUGUGUGUGUGCCAUUCAUAGCGUGCGUGCAGAGUUUAAACGGCUCCACUUUUGCAGCUGCACAUGCAGGAGUGUGCCGAUCACGUGUGCAUCUUCAAGAUCCAGAUGUAAACAAUAAUUACCGUUAGUGUGUAGAUUGGAUAGAUGCACUAGGUGUGAGUGUGUGAGGUCAGAAAGUCAGUGUCCAUUCCUGCUCGCUCCCCUUUGAUCAAAGAGCCUCAUUUAGUCCGCCCACGGCAUGUGUCUGAGCCAUAUGAGGAGUGGGUGUAGUUUGUGUGUAUGUGGAGGUGUGUGUGUGGGGGGGUGAGAUGGAUAGGCCCUGCUUCCCCGACUGCAACACCAUGGCUAAUGGGCACUCGGGUCAGCAGGGGUGGAAGCACAUCCGGUUGUACGGAUGAGUCCCAGCGACCAGAACUGUCUCCGUUUCCUUCGCUGGUUUAAAAAAAAAAAAUAAUAA
Cyprinodon tularosa is the source of this 1830-nucleotide long non-coding RNA. RefSeq lists it as uncharacterized. The record is from RefSeq and is a predicted model, not a curated record. The transcript has 2 exons. NCBI's taxonomy places the organism in Eukaryota, Metazoa, Chordata, Actinopteri, Cyprinodontiformes, Cyprinodontidae.